This 253-nucleotide ribosomal RNA is filed under the name uncultured bacterium. RNAcentral's name for it is "partial 16S ribosomal RNA". It matches the Rfam family "Bacterial small subunit ribosomal RNA", at positions 524 to 776 of the family's 1533-position model. The record is from RNAcentral.
UACGGAGGGGGCUAGCGUUGUUCGGAAUUACUGGGCGUAAAGCGCGUGUAGGCGGUCCGGUAAGUCCGCUGUGAAAGUCGGGGGCUCAACCCUCGAAUGCCGGUGGAUACUGUCGGGCUAGAGUGCGGAAGAGGCGAGUGGAAUUCCUGGUGUAGCGGUGAAAUGCGCAGAUAUCAGGAGGAACACCAAUUGCGAAGGCAGCUCGCUGGGACGUUACUGACGCUGAGACGCGAAAGCGUGGGGAGCAAACAGG